This 468-nucleotide ribosomal RNA is filed under the name uncultured bacterium. Its description in RNAcentral is "partial 16S ribosomal RNA". It matches the Rfam family "Bacterial small subunit ribosomal RNA", at positions 28 to 506 of the family's 1533-position model. The record is from RNAcentral.
GACGAACGCUGGCGGCGUGCUUAACACAUGCAAGUCGAACGGAAAGGCCCUGCUUUUGUGGGGUGCUCGAGUGGCGAACGGGUGAGUAACACGCGAGUAACCUGCCCUUGACUUUGGGAUAACUUCAGGAAACUGGGGCUAAUACCGGAUAGGAGCUCCUGCUGCAUGGUGGGGGUUGGAAAGUUUCGGCGGUUGGGGAUGGACUCGCGGCUUAUCAGCUUGUUGGUGGGGUAGUGGCUUACCAAGGGUUUGACGGGUUGCCGGCCGGGGAGGGUGGCCGGGCACAAUUGGAGUUGAGAUACGGCCCAAACCCCUACGGGGGGCAGAGGGGGGGAAUUUUGCCAAAGGGGCGGAGGCCUAAUGCGACAACGCCGGGUGGGGGGGGACGGCCUUGGGGUUGUAAACCGUUUUCCCCUGGGGCGAAGGGUGGGUGCCGGAAAUGGGAAAAAAAGCCCGGGCUAACUCCGG